RNAcentral lists this transfer RNA (63 nucleotides) under Coleomegilla maculata. RNAcentral's name for it is "tRNA-His". Lineage: Eukaryota; Metazoa; Arthropoda; Insecta; Coleoptera; Coccinellidae. The record is from RNAcentral.
UUUUGCUUUAGUAAACAUUAAUUAUGAACGAUUUUUAAGACGAAGAAUCUAUAUUAAUAAGGG